UAAGCCAUGCGAGUCGAACGAGUUUAGGCUCGUGGCGUACGGCUCAGUAACACGUGGAUAACCUACCCUUAGGACUGGGAUAACCUUGGGAAACUGAGGAUAAUACUGGAUAGGCAAUUAUUCCUGGAAUGGAUUUUUGUUUAAAUGUUUUUUCGCCUAAGGAUGGGUCUGCGGCCGAUUAGGUAGUUGGUUAGGUAACGGCUUACCAAGCCAUUGAUCGGUACGGGUUGUGAGAGCAAGAGCCCGGAGAUGGAACCUGAGACAAGGUUCCAGGCCCUACGGGGUGCAGCAGGCGCGAAACCUCCGCAAUGUGAGAAAUCGCGACGGGGGGAUCCCAAGUGCCAUUCUUAACGGGAUGGCUUUUCAUUAGUGUAAAGAGCUUUUGGAAUAAGGGCUGGGCAAGACCGGUGCCAGCCGCCGCGGUAACACCGGCAGCUCUAGUGGUAGCAGUUUUUUAUUGGGCCUAAAGCGUCCGUAGCCGGUUUAAUAAGUCUCUGGUGAAAUCCUGUAGCUUAACUGUGGGAAUUGCUGGAGAUACUAUUAGACUUGAGACCGGGAGAGGUUAGAGGUACUCCCAGGGUAGAGGUGAAAUUCUGUAAUCCUGGGAGGACCGCCUGUUGCGAAGGCGUCUAACUGGAACGGUUCUGACGGUGAGGGACGAAAGUUAGGGGCGCGAACCGGAUUAGAUACCCGGGUAGUCCUAACUGUAAACGAUGCGGACUUGGUGUUGGGGUGGCUUUGAGCUGCUCCAGUGCCGAAGGGAAACUGUUAAGUCCGCCGCCUGGGAAGUACGGUCGCAAGACUGAAACUUAAAGGAAUUGGCGGGGGAGCACCACAACGCGUGGAGCCUGCGGUUUAAUUGGAUUCAACGCCGGACAUCUCACCAGAGGCGACAGCUGUAUGAUAGCCAGGCUGAUGACUUUGCUUGACUAGCUGAGAGGAGGUGCAUGGCC
RNAcentral lists this ribosomal RNA (953 nucleotides) under uncultured Methanobrevibacter sp. RNAcentral describes it as "bacterial SSU rRNA". It matches the Rfam family "Archaeal small subunit ribosomal RNA", at positions 45 to 999 of the family's 1478-position model. The record is from RNAcentral. Lineage: Archaea; Methanobacteriati; Methanobacteriota; Methanobacteria; Methanobacteriales; Methanobacteriaceae.